AGUGAACGUUGGCGGCGUGGAUUAGGCAUGCAAGUCGUGCGACAAGUCUCGUUUUAGCUUGCUAUUAGAGAUGGAGGAGCGGCGAAAGGGUGAGUAACGCGUGGAUACCUGCCCCUAGGCCCGGGAUAGCGUCGGGAAACUGGCGGUAAUACCGGAUAACAUCUCCGGAUCAAAGGUGUGAUUCCGCCUAGGGAUGGGUCCGCGUCCUAUUAGCUUGUUGGUGGGGUAAUGGCCUACCAAGGCAAAGAUGGUACCGGGUGUGAGAGCAUGGCCCGGCACACUGGGACUGAGACACUGCCCAGACACCUACGGGUGGCUGCAGUCGAGAAUCUUCCGCAAUGGGCGCAAGCCUGACGGAGCGACGCCGCGUGCGGGAUGAAGGCCUUCGGGUUGUAAACCGCUGUCAGUGGGGAGCAAGUCCCAGGGAGUUAUCUCCUUGGGUUGAGCGAUCCGCAGAGGAAGCGCAGGCUAAGUUCGUG
RNAcentral lists this ribosomal RNA (479 nucleotides) under uncultured bacterium. RNAcentral describes it as "bacterial SSU rRNA". It matches the Rfam family "Bacterial small subunit ribosomal RNA", at positions 28 to 507 of the family's 1533-position model. The record is from RNAcentral.